UACGAAGGGGGCUAGCGUUGUUCGGAUUUACUGGGCGUAAGCGCACGUAGGCGGAUUGUUAAGUCAGGGGGGAAAUCCUGGAGCUCAACUCCAGAACUGCCUUUGAUACUGGCAAUCUAGAGUCCGGAAGAGGUGAGUGGAACUCCUAGUGUAGAGGUGGAAUUCGUAGAUAUUAGGAAGAACACCAGUGGCGAAGGCGGCUCACUGGUCCGGUACUGACGCUGAGGUGCGAAAGCGUGGGGAGCAAACAGG
This 252-nucleotide ribosomal RNA is filed under the name uncultured bacterium. RNAcentral's name for it is "partial 16S ribosomal RNA". It matches the Rfam family "Bacterial small subunit ribosomal RNA", at positions 524 to 776 of the family's 1533-position model. The record is from RNAcentral.